CCAAGUAUGCGGUACGUGACC
This 21-nucleotide unclassified non-coding RNA is filed under the name Chlamydomonas reinhardtii. RNAcentral describes it as "small RNA Cre_1001". The record is from RNAcentral. Lineage: Eukaryota; Viridiplantae; Chlorophyta; Chlorophyceae; Chlamydomonadales; Chlamydomonadaceae.